RNAcentral lists this ribosomal RNA (460 nucleotides) under uncultured bacterium. RNAcentral describes it as "partial 16S ribosomal RNA". It matches the Rfam family "Bacterial small subunit ribosomal RNA", at positions 338 to 795 of the family's 1533-position model. The record is from RNAcentral.
CCUACGGGAGGCAGCAGUGAGGAAUAUUGGUCAAUGGACGAGAGUCUGAACCAGCCAAGUAGCGUGAAGGAUGACUGCCCUAUGGGUUGUAAACUUCUUUUAUAUGGGAAUAAAAUGUUCCACGUGUGGGAUUUUGUAUGUACCAUAUGAAUAAGGAUCGGCUAACUCCGUGCCAGCAGCCGCGGUAAUACGGAGGAUCCGAGCGUUAUACGGAUUUAUUGGGUUUAAAGGGAGCGUAGGUGGAUUGUUAAGUCAGUUGUGAAAGUUUGAGGCUCAACCGUAAAAUUGCAGUUGACACUGGCAGUCUUGAGUACAGUAGAGGUGGGCGGAAUUCGUGGUGUAGCGGUGAAAUGCUUAGAUAUCACGAAGAACUCCGAUUGCGAAGGCAGUUCACUGGACUGCAACUGACACUGAGGCUCGAAAGUGUGGGUAUCAAACAGGAUUAGAUACCCGUGUAGUC